UCCGGAUUUUUCGAAAUAUUUUAUUUUAUGAUUUUCUAAAAGAUGAGGAAUAAAAUUUUUAUAUUUUAUUUCCAGUCCAGUGAAAUAUCGAGAAUUUUAUUAUUUGAAAUAUUAUGUGGAUAGUAUUUUCAGGUGUAGCUUGAAAAGUUUUUUUUGCAAUUAUAUGAUUUAAGUGUGGUACAUGUUAAAUGUGCUUCUUAUUUGGUUAUUUUGUUUGUGUGAGCAAUUAGUUCAGAAUUUUGAAUUAUUGUAUCUUUUUUAAUAAAUCAAAUUUAUCCUUUGAUUUUGAAAUCAAAGCUUGUUUUAUUUGAGCCUAAUGAUUUAAUCCGAUUUAAAUUACUAAAAUAUACAAACAUUAGUAUUUCUAUAUUUCUGUCGGAUUCAGAAAUAUUUGAAAGUUGCAGAUAAUUGUAUUAAUUAUUUGUUAAUUAACAAUGAUUUUGAGCAUUAUUUGUAAAAGUAGAGAAAGGUUGUAAAAAUAUUAUAUUUGCAAUUAUUCUGUAUUCGGGAUAAUUAAAAUUUUUAUAAACUUUUAUGUUUAAAUUUGGAAGAUAUUUUUAGCCCCAAAUUGUUAAAAUAGCUUAUUUAUUGAAUUGUGGGUGUGAAUUUUGUUAAAAUAUAAAUAGUUCUAUUUAGAAAACAAAUAGAGGAUAUACACACAGCAAUUGAAAUUGGGGGAGCAACAGAGUUUGGGAAUUAGGGAUUGGGGUGCAGAGAUGGUUACGCGCGCGAAAACAAGUAAUCAACUCUCGAUUCUUGUCAACUUCUUUUGGUAUCUCCCUAUCUAUUUAUAUAAAUACACCUAUAUACUUGAUUGUGUUGGUUCGUUUGGGCUUGUAAUCAGGGGUGGUGUGGUUGAAUCGGUGAUGGCGGUGAUUUGUUUCGCCGCUGAUAGAGGUGAGCGGAGGGAGCUGUUGCGUAGGGUGAGCUUGGGGUGUAUAGAGGGGAAUAGAUGGAGCUACUACAGAGGGCUGCGGAAGAUUGUGUGCGUGUGUCCUGUUGUGUGGGUGGUGUGUAUAACUGCCCUGUACAGGUGUACUAGUUUAUGUGUGUAAAUAGUUACUUUGUGUGUAAACAAAGCAGGGGGUUGGGAGAGGCUGCUGGUACGUGGCUGUGAUGUUUGUACAGGUGUGUAUAACAGCCUAAAGGUAUGUGUUGUCGCUUCUGUGUGUGUUCUAGUAGGCUGUGUGAUUUAUGUGGGUGUAAAUACCGUGUAGGUUUGUCGGAGGUGUUAGCAGGGCAGGUGCGGGUGUUAAUUGAAAUUGAAUAAGAAGGCUGAUCUAAGGCUAUUGAUUAGGCAGUCUAUGGGACUGGUGUGAUGGAAACUGAUGGAAGGAGGGUUAGAUGGAGAAGAGAGUGUAUGAGAUUGAAAAUAUGGGUACGAGUAUGCUGAUAAUGUUUUUGGGGUGGUAUUUUAAGAGUUUAAGUAGUGAAUUAAAGAUUUAGAAUUAUUCAUACUUGACUUAGAAAGUUUUGGCCGUCGCUGGUCUAUUUUGCAGUAUAAUUCUGGGUUAAUUGAGUUCAGUUAUGUGCUUAAUCUUUAUGUAAUAAUGUGCUACUUGAAGUCUAGAUCAAGUACGAAAAAGAAUUUCGAAAUUUCAUUAAACGAGCUAAAAGAGAGGUAUGUUUUAGUGCGAGGUGCGCAGAAAAUUCUGGGCAGGUUUGUCCUGUUCCAGGCCCUGUUUUGCUACCUUUAACUUGGUAUUUACUUAUGAAAAUUUUAAUGGAGUUUGAUAUUGGAGUCUGGAAUGUGCUGUUAAAAUUUUAUACAAUCAGACCAAUUUUUCUAUUUAUUAAAAAUCUUAGCGUCGGGCUGGUUUUGCAAGACAGUUUCUGGUGCCUAAUUGGCAUACCUGUUUUACUGCUUUAAGCUUGGAGUUUCUUUCUGAAAAUUUUACUGUAGGUUGGAAUAAUGUGUAGGAGUGUCUCAUAAAAAUUUCGUAUUAUAUCGAUAAAUUUUCAAUUUAUUAAAAAUCAUAGAGUAAGGGCUAUUUAAACUAUUUGCUCUAGUUUUCUUUCUUUGUUGGUGCAUAAUAUGAAGUUAUACUUGAUUAAUUGCAUACGAUUGAUUAUUAAUUGAUUGGCUCAGUUGGCCUUGUAUAUCUUAUUAAAUGUAUUUUGUGUAUAGUGAACAAGCAAUCGUGCGGAAAGAUUUUCUUAUGUGUUUACUGCAAGUCAAGACAUCUUUUUAUAUUAUAAUUCAUGUGUUGGAAAUAGUAUUGGCUGGUUGUUGGUAUUGAAAACAGGUGGAUAAGCCUAUAAACAGAGGAGAUGUUGCCGAAUUUUUAUUAGAAAUUAAGGUGUUUAUUUAUUACUAAAUAAUUGAUACUUGAUGGCAGUAUAUUCUAUUUGAACUGGAAUAUCUAUCGAUUGUUUAUUGAUUAUGUGAUUAUGUGUUGACUGAUCCAAUGUGUAUAUAUUGCUAUGUGGAUAUCUGUAUAUAUUCAUGUUUAUUAUAUAUGGAUAUGCGAAGGGUAGAUGUUCGUGAUUCUUAUAAUAUUUAGAAUCAGCUAGUUCUUCUAAUCCGAAGACUUAGAUAUUAUCCUACUAUCGUGUAGAAUAAUCAAGACGUGUGUAUCGAGAAUGUUCAUUAUUAAUUUGAUGGUGUUGCAACUUGAAGCAAGAAAUAUCUGAGAAGACAAGACGUAGAAAGAAUAUUGUCGGAAGCUACUUAGAAAGAUAUGGUUGUGCAAUGUAGUGCUAUUAGAAUCGUGGCUAGACAUCGGAGUCGAGGCAAGUAAUUCUAACUUUCUCUUGCAAUUAGAGCUAAGGAUUAAGGUGGUCACCUGGGUAAGCUGCGCGUAAGAGUAAUGCUAGGCGAGACUGCUAGGGAGGUGGCUGCGAGACUAGUAUGGUUAGAGUUGAAUUAUUUCAAUUCAGUUGUAGAUGGUUUUUAUUUAUUGGUUAUCAGUUAUCCUUCUUACCGAAGUUUAGCUGAUAACGUAGUUUAAGUUGUAAAAAGAUUUUAUAGUUUGGGUUCUGGUUUCAAUGCUGUAACCUAUUUGCGAUCCUGUUGUUAGGGGGUCAAAGUGAUUUUGAUUUAAAUCUCUUUUAAAAAUCCAGAUUUUGAAAUAUAUGUUUUACCUUCUUCCGGAAA
Molecule: long non-coding RNA, 3097 nt
Organism: Daucus carota subsp. sativus
Lineage: Eukaryota; Viridiplantae; Streptophyta; Magnoliopsida; Apiales; Apiaceae
Exons: 2
Source: RefSeq, a predicted model, not a curated record